Molecule: long non-coding RNA, 787 nt
Organism: Onychostoma macrolepis
Lineage: Eukaryota; Metazoa; Chordata; Actinopteri; Cypriniformes; Cyprinidae
Exons: 4
Source: RefSeq, a predicted model, not a curated record
AUCAGGUCAAAGCGUUAUGAGGACGUUCCAGAAAUCACUUCAAUACUGGAGAGUCUUGACAAGGAUUGUUGUUACAACCCAAUGAAUUUAAGGCAAGGUGCCCAAUCCUGCUCCUGGGGAGGCAAGAUCCUGACAAAAAGCAUCAAAGAGGGGGAGAAAGGAUAAACGAAUAACGAAAAACAAAGGAUUUAAUGUAUAAAUCUGGUACUUCAAGCAUCCUAUAUUUUACCAACAACAAACCAAAGGAUGAGGACAGCAGCAUUGCUGGGCCUGCCGUGUUGCAUGCGAGAGACAUGGUGACAUGCGAGAGAUGUAGUGCAUGCGAGAGACAGCUUACCUCGCAAGAUAUGCGAGGUAAGCUGAAACAUAUUCUAUAGAGCCCAGUGACCGUGAAGACGAUGUGAUCAAGGGUGUGGUGAUUGGAAUCCUAGUGGUUGUGGACCUCUCCCAGCGUUCUACAAUGACGUUGCCCUGAUGAUUGAGGAAGAAGUGGUAAUGCGUCACCUGAGUGAUGUACCUAAUGCUUUUCUGAACCUGAUGGGCCUGGUGUACGCAUUAAACAGGGUUUCUGCAGGAUUUUUAAGCUCAAAUUUAAGACUUUUUAAGACCUGCACAAAUAAAAUUAAUACCAUAUUAGCGAGGUAGGGCAAUGUCUAUAGUACCAUAUUAAACUGUAAAAUGACUGUAAAAAGCAUAAUUUACAAUUCAGCUACAGAUUUUCACAAACUUUUAUAAAAUUAUAAAUUUUACAUUUCAAACUUUAAACCAUUUUUAAAGUAAAAAGUAU